CACAGGAUGUUAAUAGAAUCCUCGUCAAAAAUUGUUUUCACGGGAGUUUAAAGAAUCCGUUAAUGUUUAUAUAUAUUUACCAAAGAUUGAUUCAACUUUAACGGGAGAAAAGACACUCGUUAAUUAAAUAUAUUUUUAAGGGAGUAUUAUAAAAAAUAAAAAUAAAAAUCCCGCCCACAGUUUUCAUCUCCCGCGCGCCCAAAAAUCCAAUAGUCAGCCAAAAUUUGCUAGUCCUAUUUAAUUUCCAUGUCACCAUUUACACAAACACUGCUCUUCAUUUCGUUCCCACGAGCGCCUCCACCGCUGUUGAGUAAACUGCUGACAACACCUGACCAGUCUCUCAAAAUGCCCUAAUCUUCUUUCUUCCAUUAUUUCUGUUGAGGAGGCUGGAUCAUUUACCCCAUCUCCGCUUGAAGUUCAAUCUGAAAUCUCUACCUCGCUCGAAGUUCUCUCUCCUAUCUAUCUCCAUCUCCGCUUGAAGUUCUGGUUCGACAGGAAAGGAAAGUUGGGCGAUCUCAACCAAUUUCUACCUUGACCAACACAGAGCUAUUUGUUCAGUUUAUAAAGGAAGAACAUGCUGCGAACGCCAAAAAAACACAUGCUGCGAACGCCCUUAAUUAUCUCACUGAAGAUUUUAUGCUGGUGAAAAGAUCUAUUUUAACCAACUUAUUAGGAGCAGAACAAAACCAUUACUUUUGAAGUAAGAUUAGGAGCAUAGUUCUGGUUCUCAAUCUUCAUCUCUGGUAGUUGAAUUUCCUGGUAAUCAAGUUGUAGACGCGGAACUUGCACUUGUGGGGUGUUUGCCCUUUUUUGACCUUUUUGUUCUAUCUAUAAUUGUACGAUUGCAUGACAAAGUUGAGUUCCUGGCAAAGCAUGGGCAUGUGGAUUGAAUGUUUCUUUUUGGGGUUUUUUUAUUGUUGGCUUCUCAAAGUGUGGGACUCCAUUUUUGAUCACACCUCGAUCAAAGCCUUCAUCAAGACAAGACAUUACAUAUAAAAGCUCAAAUGAAGGAACAUCAUGAAGAUACGACAAAAAGACAAAAAGGAAUCAAGAUUCAAAGAGAAGUCUUCAAGAUCUCAUCAAAUGGGGUUAGCUAGGAUGGUGAGAUUUUUAGGAAAAUUUGUUAAAGUAUAUAUGAACAUCUUGAAGCUCUCAUUCUCAAAAUCAUGCAUAGAAACUCAUUCAUUAAGUUUAAGGAACAUUGGACCAAGUUUAAACAUUAUCAAAACAUGUUCCUCAAAUUUAAGUUACAUUUCGGUCGACCGAAAUGGAAGGAUAUCUUGAAAUGGUCGACCGGUUCUAUUAAAGAGUUUGGAUCAUUGCUUAUCGAAAUACAGUACCAACUCAUUUCGGUCUACCGAACUAAGUAAAUGAAAAGCUACUCAUAGAGUUUCAGAUGACCGAAAUAAAAAGGGCAAAUGAAUCGGACGAGCCCAUUCUCACAGAAUGUUUUAGAACAAAGGAGGAAGGAGUUUUGGUCGACCGAAACAAAAGAAAGAAUCAUUCGAUCUAUCGAAAUAAGUAUGAUGGCCAACCUCAAACAGUUUCAGUCGACUGAACCUCAAUAGUGUUUUAUUUUAGACGAUCAAACCAGCGAGAAUUCAAAUAUUGAACGGCCAUUUUUUCUCGAAGUGUGUGUCCAACAGCUAGAAUAUAUAUCAGACUUAUUUGAAACUCUAUAUAAUGACUUGUGGUCUUCAUAAAAAGGUAUUGCAUUCAUUAAGAAACAUAUCUUUGCAAUCUUAGAACCUUUUUAUCAUCAUACACAUACUUCAUAUCUUCAAAGAGUAAAGAGCUUUAAUUUAUUCAUACAUACUCUAGAGUGAGUUGAAACUUGUACUUCAGAUAUAAGAGAGAUCAUCUUGUACUUUAUAUAUUCUCUUCAAAUCUUGUAAGGGCUAGUGUGGCCCAAGGAAGACUACGAGAAGGUGUUUCUCUUAGCAAUUAAAGGCAAAUAAGAGUUUUUUUGUAAAAGGUUUGCUCUCCACCCGUAAGGAGAAGCCAUAGUGGAUUGAGAAGUCUCAAGGAGGGUCUUGAGCCAAGGAGUAGGAGUUUUCGAACCUCGUAAAAAUU
This is a long non-coding RNA of Cornus florida, 2073 nucleotides long. RefSeq lists it as uncharacterized. Lineage: Eukaryota; Viridiplantae; Streptophyta; Magnoliopsida; Cornales; Cornaceae. The record is from RefSeq and is a predicted model, not a curated record. The transcript has 5 exons.